ACGAACGCUGGCGGCGUGCUUAACACAUGCCAGUCGAACGGAAAGGCCUCUUUCGGGGGGUACUCGAGUGGCGAACGGGUGAGUAACACGUGAGUAACCUGCCCUUGACUUUGGGAUAACUUCAGGAAACUGGGGCUAAUACCGGAUAGAAGCUCCUGCUGCAUGGUGGGGGUUGGAAAGUUUCGGCGGUUGGGGAUGGACUCGCGGCUUAUCAGCUUGUUGGUGGGGUAGUGGCUUACCAAGGCUUUGACGGGUAGCCGGCCUGAGAGGGUGACCGGCCACAUUGGGACUGAGAUACGGCCCAGACUCCUACGGGAGGCAGCAGUGGGGAAUAUUGCACAAUGGGUGGAAGCCUGAUGCAGCAACGCCGUGUGCGGGAUGACGGCCUUCGGGUUGUAAACCGCUUUCGCUCAUGACGAAGCUUUGUGUGACGGUAGUGGGUAAAGAAGCACCGGCUAACUACGUG
This 466-nucleotide ribosomal RNA is filed under the name uncultured bacterium. RNAcentral's name for it is "partial 16S ribosomal RNA". It matches the Rfam family "Bacterial small subunit ribosomal RNA", at positions 29 to 507 of the family's 1533-position model. The record is from RNAcentral.